This 382-nucleotide ribosomal RNA is filed under the name uncultured eukaryote. RNAcentral describes it as "partial 18S ribosomal RNA". It matches the Rfam family "Eukaryotic small subunit ribosomal RNA", at positions 592 to 976 of the family's 1831-position model. The record is from RNAcentral.
CAAUAGCGUAUAUUAAAGUUGUUGCAGUUAAAAAGCUCGUAGUUGGAUUUCUGGUUGAAGCGACCGGUCGGGCGUUGAUUCGUCUGCACUGGAGUCGGUUUUGGCCAUCCUCUAGGAAAGUGCGUCUGGUAUUAAGUUAUCGGGCGUAUGAUCCUGGUCUUUUACUGUGAAAAAAUUAGAGUGUUUAAAGCAGGCCUUCGCCUUGAAUACAUUAGCAUGGAAUAAUAAGAUAGGACUUUGGGCUAUUUUGUUGGUUUGCAGACCGAAGUAAUGAUUAAUAGGGAUAGUUGGGGGUAUUUAUAUUCCGAUGUCAGAGGUGAAAUUCUUAGAUUUUCGGAAGAUAAACUUAUGCGAAAGCAUUUACCAAGGAUGUUUUCAUUAA